RNAcentral lists this ribosomal RNA (252 nucleotides) under uncultured bacterium. RNAcentral's name for it is "partial 16S ribosomal RNA". It matches the Rfam family "Bacterial small subunit ribosomal RNA", at positions 524 to 776 of the family's 1533-position model. The record is from RNAcentral.
UACGGAGGAUGCGAGCGUUAUCCGGAUUUAUUGGGUUUAAAGGGUGCGUAGGCGGGCUUUUAAGUCAGCGGUAAAAAUUCGGGGCUCAACCCCGUCCGGCCGUUGAAACUGGGGGCCUUGAGUGGGCGAGAAGAAGGCGGAAUGCGUGGUGAAGCGGUGAAAUGCAUAGAUAUCACGCAGAACCCCGAUUGCGAAGGCAGCCUUCCGGCGCCCUACUGACGCUGAGGCACGAAAGUGCGGGGAUCGAACAGG